Molecule: ribosomal RNA, 521 nt
Filed under: uncultured bacterium
Lineage: Bacteria
Description: bacterial SSU rRNA
Rfam family: Bacterial small subunit ribosomal RNA
Source: RNAcentral
GGACGAACGGCUGGCGGCGUGCCUAAUACAUGCAAGUCGAACGGUCUUUCUAUGGAAGCUUGCUUCCGCUGAGAAGAUAGUGGCGAACGGGUGAGUAACACGUGGGUAACCUGCCCAUAAGAGGGGGGAUAACAUCCGGAAACGGGUGCUAAUACCGCAUAGUUUUCUUGAUCGCAUGAUUGAGAAAGGAAAGACGGCCUUUGUGCUGUCGCUUAUGGAUGGACCCGCGGCGUAUUAGUUAGUUGGUGAGGUAACGGCUCACCAAGACGAUGAUACGUAGCCGACCUGAGAGGGUGAUCGGCCACAUUGGGACUGAGACACGGCCCAAACUCCUACGGGAGGCAGCAGUAGGGAAUCUUCCGCAAUGGACGAAAGUCUGACGGAGCAACGCCGCGUGAGUGAAGAAAAGGUUUUCGGAUCGUAAAACUCUGUUGUCAGAGAAGAACAAGUUGGAGAGUAACUGCUCCAGCCUUGACGGUAUCUGACCAGAAAGCCACGGCUAACUACGUGCCAGCCGCCGC